GAAUUAUUUGGGAGGAAGGCUGCUCAUGGGACAAGUCAUUUUACCUUCCAGGAGAGAUUCAACACUGGCCAUUGACUAUAUGUGCAGCACACACUUCUUCUGAAGGCUUGAGGCAUCUACCGUGUGACAGAUCAUGAAUCAAAUGACCUGCAAGCUUAGAGAGCCUUUCUCAGCCCUGCCACAUGCAGCUAUGUUGAUGCUGAUGUGACUGAUUUUACUUCCUUCCCUUUAUUCACCAACAGAGAGGUCGCUAUCACACCACCAACUUCUGUUGCUUAGGUCCUGGCUUAUGAAGAAUAGACUCUGGGAGCACAUUGGAAAUCAACACUCUUGCCUUAUGAUGCAGGACAGAUGCUGAAAUUCUCUUAAGAGUAGCUUUAUGAUUAUUUUCUUUGGAAACAUGGAUUAACUCACUUGCCAUCUUCAGGCAGAAGAAAAACCUCAUCCCCUCCCCACCCCACCCCAUCCCUUUUAGAUUCUGCAACUCUGUAUUCUGAAUUUUUGUUAAGAAAAUCUACAAAUUAGAAAUAUCAUUUUAGGGACAAUCAAUAUCAGGUUUCAAUAUAACAGCAACUGUUAAAUAAGAGAAAAUACCUACUUUCAAAGCCC
This 609-nucleotide long non-coding RNA is filed under the name Homo sapiens (human). RNAcentral describes it as "long non-coding RNA NONHSAT187626". Lineage: Eukaryota; Metazoa; Chordata; Mammalia; Primates; Hominidae. The record is from RNAcentral.